GGAGUCGUGCCUGCUCAAUGAUUAUUAAAAUUAAAUAGCCGCAGUACCCUGACUGUGCAAAGGUAGCAUAAUCAUUUGCCCUAUAAUUGAGGGCUGGAAUGAAUGGUUUGACGAAAGCUUAACUGUCUUUUUAUUUUUGAUUAUAAAUUAAUUUUUAAGUGAAGAAGCUUAAAUAAAUAAAAGGGACGAGAAGACCCUAUUGAGUUUAAAUUUAUGAUUUUUAAGGUUUAUUUAUAUUAUAUAAAAUUAUUAUAAUUAUUAAAUUUUAGUUGGGGCAACUAAGGAAUAAAUAAAACUUCCUAAAGUAUAUAUUAAAAUUAUUGUUAUUGAUCCAUUGAAUAAAUAAUGAUUAAUAGAUAUAAUUACCAUAGGGAUAACAGCGUAAUUUUUUCUGAGAGUUCUAAUCGAAGAAGAAGAUUGCGACCUCGAUGUUGGACUAAGGGAUUCUUAGAGGAGCAA
This 459-nucleotide ribosomal RNA is filed under the name Ennucula tenuis. RNAcentral's name for it is "partial 16S ribosomal RNA". It matches the Rfam family "Bacterial large subunit ribosomal RNA", at positions 1849 to 2561 of the family's 2925-position model. Lineage: Eukaryota; Metazoa; Mollusca; Bivalvia; Nuculida; Nuculidae. The record is from RNAcentral.